GAUGAUGGUAGCUGGGCUAGUAGGCUGCCUGGCUAGCUAUCUGGGCCUCACAUAUGGAGAGACGGCCGUAAUGGGCUUCCGGGCCUUGUAUACAUUGCGGGAAUAAUUUCACUUGGGUGGGUCAAGAUAGUCAGCUUAUACUCUAUAUCAGAGCAAAUUUCCUUUUUUAUUCAAGAUAUUUAAUGCUUUGAAAAAUUAAAGCACAAUUGCCCAUAAAGAUAUGUACAUAAGGGGCAUCUUUGGAUAAUAAUGCUGUUCGGAUCUGGAGUUUACCUAUACACGGAUUAGGUAUAAAAAAAGAAUCUUUUGUUAUGCCUUUAAAAGGAAGAGGGGGGAAAAUACACAUUUAAGAGUCGUUUACUACUGCAAAUAAAAAAAAGAGAAUUCUAGUUAAUGGUUCCCAUUUUUUUAUGAAUUUUGCAGCCCUAGAAAUCUACUUUUUUCGAACCAUGUUUCUUUUCGUAAUAUAUUUUUGAGGAAAAGAUUGUCGAUCCCCGUCAUUCGAUUAGAAGAAAAAGAACUGUACAGAAGGAUACAAGGAGGAUCCCUAGAAAAACGGAAAAGAAAAUAAAAAAAAGGCAGAGAAAAGGGCCUAAUCUCCCGGAUCCGGCCAAACACGCACGAAUCCGCACACGGAUGUCCUCCCAAAUGAGGAGUGCCACCUCUAGGGCUGGUAUCGUGGCCCCCUUGAAGAUGCGACUAUUGCGCUCCUUCCAUACACCCCACCAAGUGUAGACGAGCUUGCCACUAAUGGCCCGCUUCUCUGCAUUGGAAUGCCCAUGGAUGAGGGCAUCCCAAAAGGCAUCAACGGAUGGAGCGGAG
Molecule: long non-coding RNA, 822 nt
Filed under: Brachypodium distachyon (stiff brome)
Lineage: Eukaryota; Viridiplantae; Streptophyta; Magnoliopsida; Poales; Poaceae
Description: long non-coding RNA (BDIS_LNC004982)
Source: RNAcentral